UCGUAACAAGGUUUCCGUAGGUGAACCUGCGGAAGGAUCAUUAAUGAAUUUUAGGACUCUCUUUUUAGAGGUCCGACCCUUUCAUUUCCAUACACUGUGCACACACUUCUUUUCACACAUUUUAACACUAUAGUAUAAGAAUGUAACAGUCUCUUUAUUGAGCAUAAAUAAAAAUAAAACUUUCAGCAACGGAUCUCUUGGCUCUCGCAUCGAUGAAGAACGCAGCGAAUUGCGAUAAGUAAUGUGAAUUGCAGAAUUCAGUGAAUCAUCGAAUCUUUGAACGCACCUUGCACUCUUUGGUAUUCCGAAGAGUAUGUCUGUUUGAGUGUCAUGAAACUCUCAACCCCCCUAUUUUGUAAUGAGAUGGGCGUGGGCUUGGAUUAUGACUGCUGUCGGCGUAAUUGCCGGCUCAGUUGAAAUACACGAGCAACCCAUUUGAAAUAAACGGCUUGACUCGGCGUAAUAAUUAUUUCGCUGAGGACGUUUUCUUCAAAAGUUAGAGGUGCUUCUAAUGCGCUAUUACAGCACUUUAAAUUUUAGACCUCAAAUCAGUCAGGACUACCCGCUGAACUUAAGCAUAUC
This 582-nucleotide unclassified non-coding RNA is filed under the name Cystobasidium laryngis. RNAcentral describes it as "sequence contains 18S rRNA gene, ITS1, 5.8S rRNA gene, ITS2, 28S rRNA gene". The stretch from base 178 to 331 matches the Rfam family "5.8S ribosomal RNA". The record is from RNAcentral. Lineage: Eukaryota; Fungi; Basidiomycota; Cystobasidiomycetes; Cystobasidiales; Cystobasidiaceae.